UUGGAGGGCAAGUCUGGUGCCAGCAGCCGCGGUAAUUCCAGCUCCAAUAGCGUAUAUUAAAGUUGUUGCAGUUAAAAAGCUCGUAGUUGAACUUCGGGGUUUACCCAUUGGUCAGGCUUAAUUGUCUGCACUGGUGAGAUGAAUCUCUACCUUCUGAGGAACUUUCAUGCCAUUUAUUUGGUGUGAUGGGAAAUCAGGACUGUUACUUUGAAAAAAUUAGAGUGUUUAAAGCAGGCUAACGUCUGAAUACAUUAGCAUGGAAUAAUGAAAUAGGACGGACUGAUUCUAUUUCGUUGGUUUCUAGGAUCACCGUAAUGAUUAAUAGGGAUAGUUGGGGGCAUUAGUAUUCAAUUGUCAGAGGUGAAAUUCUUGGAUUUAUUGAAGACUAACUACUGCGAAAGCAUUUGCCAAGGAUGUUUUCAUUAAUCAAGAACGAAAGUUAGGGGAUCGAAGACGAUCAGAUACCGUCGUAGUCUUAACCAUAAACUAUGCCGACUAGGGAUCGGACGAAGUUAAUUUUAUAAUGACGCGUUCGGCACCUUACGGGAAACCAAAGUGUUUGGGUUC
RNAcentral lists this ribosomal RNA (567 nucleotides) under uncultured Glomeromycotina. RNAcentral describes it as "SSU rRNA". It matches the Rfam family "Eukaryotic small subunit ribosomal RNA", at positions 548 to 1114 of the family's 1831-position model. Lineage: Eukaryota; Fungi; Glomeromycota. The record is from RNAcentral.